CUUUCGAGUUGGAGCUCAGAGUACGAGCGUAGUUCAGGGGAUGUGAUCAGUCAGGGCUGAGUGCAGAGCUGCACACAUAUAGCAGCAGCCCAGAAAGGCACAAGGAGCCUUCUCCUUAAAUGGUCAAAGCUCCCAGGAGUGAAAGAGAGGCUGGCGCUGAACAAAAAAAAAAAGACAGGGAACGGAGGGGAAAGGAAAAGACGGCCAGGGAUAGCUGGGUUUUUCUUUGAAAGAAUCUAGGAAUGACAGUUUGACUGAGGGAAGGUCCUGCCGGUUUUAUGUGGAGUUGCUAAGCAGUGGUGGUGGUAUCUCUCACAGAGAACAACAGAGCUGUGACGACCCCAAGGCGCCCUCCACUGAUGACCACAUACCAAGCCAAGUCCAAUAUUCAGACUUUAUCCCAGAUCGAGAUCACAACAGCACUAGUUGUGAUGGUCCUGCAACUGUAUUUUUAGGUUCCAUCCCGCCCCCAUCCCUCGUCCACGACGCGUAUGCCCCUCCUCUCACCAUCCCAUUGGAAACAGUCCCUCGGUUUGGCUGUGAGAAUCCAGCUCCUGCUCUCACCGACGAGGAUGUAGCAGGGUUAGUGUUUAUAUUCUCCAUCUUUUACAGGAAAGGGUAUUGCAUGUGUUUAGAUGAACAUCCCCCCACACUGAAGAGCUAGGCUUAGGUGAGACUGUACAGAGAUUGUCAGUGUUUACAUGGUCACACACCAGAGCCCCAAUAACUUACAGGGGCACUCAGUACAUUCCUUGGAGGAAGCUAGAAAAUGUCAGAGAAUUGCCUAGUGUUUUAGAAAAGGCC
Long non-coding RNA from Esox lucius (northern pike), 804 nucleotides. The record is from Ensembl. Lineage: Eukaryota; Metazoa; Chordata; Actinopteri; Esociformes; Esocidae.